GCCGUGGUUAUAAAAGGAGGAAAGGUUGGAGGCAGGGGGGGUUCGGGGGGGAGAGGAGCAGCGCUGCCUCGGGGGUCUGCAUCUGGAAGCGGCCACCAGUUUCCUGCUGGGAAUCCGGGAAAGAGAACUCGGUGAGAAAUGCGAAUGCUGCAGCUGGAGCGCUGAGAGGGGAGACUGCAGGGAAUGUGUCUGGGCAGCGUGUGAGCCCAGGCCCUCCUCCCUGGAGCAGGGACAGCUGAGGAUGAGCCCCAGGGACUUAGCCAUCAGAGCAGGCCAGGACAAAUCACCAACCUCCUGCCACCUUUGCCAAAAGCUUUGGUGUUUGAGCAGCCCCGGGCAAGAGGCCCCAGCACAGGCUCUGCCCUGGAGGGCUCAGGCCCUGCCCUGCUGUGGAUGCUGGACUUACCUCUGUGGACGCGCGCUGAGCUCUCACUGCAGGAACCUGUCAG
Molecule: long non-coding RNA, 449 nt
Organism: Melospiza melodia melodia
Lineage: Eukaryota; Metazoa; Chordata; Aves; Passeriformes; Passerellidae
Exons: 4
Source: RefSeq, a predicted model, not a curated record